This 253-nucleotide ribosomal RNA is filed under the name uncultured bacterium. RNAcentral describes it as "partial 16S ribosomal RNA". It matches the Rfam family "Bacterial small subunit ribosomal RNA", at positions 524 to 776 of the family's 1533-position model. The record is from RNAcentral.
UACGAACUGUGCGAACGUUAUUCGGAUUCACUGGGCUUAAAGGGUGCGUAGGUGGUUUUCUAAGUCAGGUGUGAAAGCCCUCGGCUCAACCGGGGAACUGCGCUUGAGACUGGAAGACUUGAGUGAGGUAGGGGUGUGCGGAACUUCUAGUGGAGCGGUGAAAUGUGUAGAUAUUAGAAGGAACGCCUGCAGCGAAAGCGGCACACUGGGCCUUUUCUGACACUGAGGCACGAAAGCCAGGGGAGCGAACGGG